Molecule: ribosomal RNA, 393 nt
Filed under: uncultured bacterium
Lineage: Bacteria
Description: partial 16S ribosomal RNA
Rfam family: Bacterial small subunit ribosomal RNA
Source: RNAcentral
AUACGGAAGGUCCGGGCGUUAUCCGGAUUUAUUGGGUUUAAAGGGAGCGCAGGCGGAGAUGCAAGCGUGACGUCAAAUUUCGGGGCUCAACCCCGUCUCGCGUCGCGAACUGCGUCCCUUGGUUGCGGGAAGGGGAGGCGGAACUCGUGGUGUAGCGGUGAAAUGCAUAGAUAUCACGAAGAACUCCGAUCGCGAAGGCAGCCUUCCGGCCCGUCAACGACGCUCAUGCUCGAAGGUGCGGGUAUCAAACAGGAUUAGAUACCCUGGUAGUCCGCACAGUAAACGAUGGACACCCGCGGUUUGGCCUAUAUGGCUGAGCCGCCAAGCGAAAGCGUUAAGUGUCCCACCUGGGGAGUACGCCGGCAACGGUGAAACUCAAAGGAAUUGGCGGGG